AACAGUGGUGGGUAUCUUCGUGUUCCUCGAGGUCGAUGUCGCUCACCGUUUCGAAAAUUAUAGAGAAAGGGUUUUGAAAUUGAACCCUUCUUGCGGUCGGACGAGUAACGAUGAUAAAAAUCGUCUACGAUGAGGAUAAGUACAUAAAUGGAGUUUGCUAGAAAAGAAAAAAAAAGAAACGAAAGAAAAGUAUUAUUUUUCUUUUUCUCAAUUUCCGAAGAAGUUAUAAAUAAAAAAAAAUAGAGAGAGAGAGAGAGAAAUAUCACGUACCGACAAAGAGUAAAACAUGGUUCAUAUGAUUCGAAAAGCACGAAUAUUUCCUACGAUUGGAACUUAUAAGUGGAUAAAAUCCUUUCACAAAAA
This 363-nucleotide long non-coding RNA is filed under the name Polistes fuscatus (common paper wasp). Its description in RNAcentral is "uncharacterized LOC122523497". Lineage: Eukaryota; Metazoa; Arthropoda; Insecta; Hymenoptera; Vespidae. The record is from RNAcentral.